This 555-nucleotide ribosomal RNA is filed under the name uncultured bacterium. RNAcentral describes it as "bacterial SSU rRNA". It matches the Rfam family "Bacterial small subunit ribosomal RNA", at positions 139 to 728 of the family's 1533-position model. The record is from RNAcentral.
CGGAAUAACUCCCCCAAAGGGGUGCUAAUACCGGAUAAUGUCUUCGGACCAAAGAUUUAUCGCCUUUGGAUGGGCCCGCGUUGGAUUAGCUAGUUGGUGAGGUAAAGGCUCACCAAGGCGACGAUCCAUAGCUGGUCUUAGAGGAUGAUCAGCCACACUGGGACUGUGACACGGCCCAGACUCCUAAGGGAGGCAGCAGUGGGGAAUAUUGGACAAUGGGCGAAAGCCUGAUCCAGCAAUCCCGCGUGAGUGAUGAAGGCCUUAGGGUUGUAAAGCUCUUUUACCCGGGAUGAUAAUGACAGUACCGGGAGAAUAAGCUCCGGCUAACUCCGUGCCAGCAGCCGCGGUAAUACGGAGGGAGCUAGCGUUGUUCGGAAAUACUGGGCGUAAAGCGAACGUAGGCGGCCAAGUAAGUCAGAGGUGAAAUCCCGGAGCUCAACUCCGGAACUGCCUUUGAAACUGCAUGGCAAGAAUCCUGGAGAGGCGAGUGGAAUUCCGAGUGUAGAGGUGAAAUUCGUAGAUAUUCGGAAGGACACCAGUGGCGAAGGCGACUCG